This 468-nucleotide ribosomal RNA is filed under the name uncultured bacterium. RNAcentral's name for it is "partial 16S ribosomal RNA". It matches the Rfam family "Bacterial small subunit ribosomal RNA", at positions 28 to 507 of the family's 1533-position model. The record is from RNAcentral.
GACGAACGCUGGCGGCGUGCUUAACACAUGCAAGUCGAACGGAAAGGCCCUGCUUUUGUGGGGUGCUCGAGUGGCGAACGGGUGAGUAACACGUGAGUAACCUGCCCUUGACUUUGGGAUAACUUCAGGAAACUGGGGCUAAUACCGGAUAGGAGCUCCUGCUGCAUGGUGGGGGUUGGAAAGUUUCGGCGGUUGGGGAUGGACUCGCGGCUUAUCAGCCUGUUGGUGGGGUAGUGGCUUACCAAGGCUUUGACGGGUAGCCGGCCUGAGAGGGUGACCGGCCACAUUGGGACUGAGAUACGGCCCAGACUCCUACGGGAGGCAGCAGUGGGGAAUAUUGCACAAUGGGCGGAAGCCUGAUGCAGCAACGCCGCGUGCGGAAUGACGGCCUUCGGGUUGUAAACCGCUUUCGCCUGUGACGAAGCGUGAGUGACGGUAAUGGGUAAAGAAGCACCGGCUAACUACGUG